RNAcentral lists this ribosomal RNA (836 nucleotides) under uncultured Pseudomonadota bacterium. RNAcentral describes it as "bacterial SSU rRNA". It matches the Rfam family "Bacterial small subunit ribosomal RNA", at positions 27 to 857 of the family's 1533-position model. The record is from RNAcentral. Lineage: Bacteria; Pseudomonadati; Pseudomonadota.
GAUUGAACGCUGGCGGCAGGCUUAACACAUGCAAGUCGAGCGGGGGAGGUUGCUUCGGUAACUGACCUAGCGGCGGACGGGUGAGUAAUGCUUAGGAAUCUGCCUAUUAGUGGGGGACAACAUUCCGAAAGGAAUGCUAAUACCGCAUACGCCCUACGGGGGAAAGCAGGGGAUCUUCGGACCUUGCGCUAAUAGAUGAGCCUAAGUCGGAUUAGCUAGUUGGUGGGGUAAAGGCCUACCAAGGCGACGAUCUGUAGCGGGUCUGAGAGGAUGAUCCGCCACACUGGGACUGAGACACGGCCCAGACUCCUACGGGAGGCAGCAGUGGGGAAUAUUGGACAAUGGGGGGAACCCUGAUCCAGCCAUGCCGCGUGUGUGAAGAAGGCCUUUUGGUUGUAAAGCACUUUAAGCGAGGAGGAGGCUACCGAGACUAAUACUCUUGGAUAGUGGACGUUACUCGCAGAAUAAGCACCGGCUAACUCUGUGCCAGCAGCCGCGGUAAUACAGAGGGUGCGAGCGUUAAUCGGAUUUACUGGGCGUAAAGCGUGCGUAGGCGGCUGAUUAAGUCGGAUGUGAAAUCCCUGAGCUUAACUUAGGAAUUGCAUUCGAUACUGGUCAGCUAGAGUAUGGGAGAGGAUGGUAGAAUUCCAGGUGUAGCGGUGAAAUGCGUAGAGAUCUGGAGGAAUACCGAUGGCGAAGGCAGCCAUCUGGCCUAAUACUGACGCUGAGGUACGAAAGCAUGGGGAGCAAACAGGAUUAGAUACUCUGGUAGUCCAUGCCGUAAACGAUGUCUACUAGCCGUUGGGGCCUUUGAGGCUUUAGUGGCGCAGCUAACG